RNAcentral lists this unclassified non-coding RNA (240 nucleotides) under uncultured fungus. Its description in RNAcentral is "sequence contains ITS2". The record is from RNAcentral. Lineage: Eukaryota; Fungi.
AACGCACAUUGCGCCCCUUGGUAUUCCGAGGGGUAUGCCUGUUCGAGCGUCAUUACAACCCUCAAGCACUGCUUGGUAUUGGGCUCCGCUGGUUUCAGCGGGCCUUAAAAUCAGUGGCAGCGCCGUCUGAGCUCUGAGCGUAGUAAAUAUCCUCGCUAUAGAGACCAGGUGGUUCUUGUCAUCAACCCCCAACUUUCUAAGUUUGACCUCGGAUCAGGUAGGGAUACCCGCUGAACUUAA